GUGCUUUGGUGGCACCAGUACUGAAAUUGGGACGAUACAGAGAUUAAUGCAACUCCUGGGCAAGAAUGGCAUGCAAAUUCAGGAGGUGGUCUAUAUUUUU
Molecule: small nuclear RNA, 100 nt
Filed under: Meriones unguiculatus (Mongolian gerbil)
Lineage: Eukaryota; Metazoa; Chordata; Mammalia; Rodentia; Muridae
Source: RNAcentral